RNAcentral lists this transfer RNA (68 nucleotides) under Marmota monax (woodchuck). Its description in RNAcentral is "tRNA.Ala". The stretch from base 7 to 63 matches the Rfam family "tRNA", at positions 8 to 63 of the family's 71-position model. From Rfam's summary of the family: Transfer RNA (tRNA) molecules are approximately 80 nucleotides in length. Lineage: Eukaryota; Metazoa; Chordata; Mammalia; Rodentia; Sciuridae. The record is from RNAcentral.
UGUAGCUAGCUCAGUGGUAGAGCACUUGCCUAGCAUGCAUGACACCCUGGGUUCAAACCCUAGUAUUG